RNAcentral lists this ribosomal RNA (468 nucleotides) under uncultured bacterium. RNAcentral's name for it is "partial 16S ribosomal RNA". It matches the Rfam family "Bacterial small subunit ribosomal RNA", at positions 28 to 507 of the family's 1533-position model. The record is from RNAcentral.
GACGAACGCUGGCGGCGUGCUUAACACAUGCAAGUCGAACGGAAAGGCCCUGCUUUUGUGGGGUGCUCGAGUGGCGAACGGGUGAUUAACAUGUGAGUAACCUGCCCUUGACUUUGGGAUAACUUUAGGAAACUGGGGCUAAUACCGGAUAGGAGCUCCUACUGCAUGGUGGGGGUUGGAAAGUUUCGGCGGUUGGGGAUGGACUCGUGGCUUAUCAGCUUGUUGGUGGGGUAGUGGCUUACCAAGGCUUUGUCGGGUAGCCGGCCUGAGAGGGUGACCGGCCACAUUGGUACAGAGAUUCGGCCAAGACUCCUACGGGAGGAAGCAGUGGGGAAAAUUUCACAAUGGGAGGAACCCUGAUGCAGCAACGCCGCGUGCGGUAUGUCGGCCUUCGGAUUGUAAACCGCUUGCGCCUGUGACGAAGCGUGAGUGACGGUAAUGGGUAAAGAAGCAACGGCUAACUACGUG